AGUGAACGCUGGCGGUAGGCCUAACACAUGCCAGUCGAACGGCAGCACAGUAAGAGCUUGCUCUUACGGGUGGCGAGUGGCGGACGGGUGAGGAAUACAUCGGAAUCUACUUUUUCGUGGGGGAUAACGUAGGGAAACUUACGCUAAUACCGCAUACGACCUACGGGUGAAAGCAGGGGAUCUUCAGACCUUGCGCGAUUGAAUGAGCCGAUGUCGGAUUAGCUAGUUGGCGGGGUAAAGGCCCACCAAGGCGACGAUCCGUAGCUGGUCUGAGAGGAUGGUCAGCCACACUGGAACUGAGACACGGUCCAGACUCCUACGGGAGGCAGCAGUGGGGAAUAUUGGACAAUGGGCGCAAGCCUGAUCCAGCCAUACCGCGUGGGUGAAGAAGGCCUUCGGGUUGUAAAGCCCUUUUGUUGGGAAAGAAAAGCAGCAGGUUAAUACCCCGCUGUUCUGACGGUACCCAAAGAAUAAGCACCGGCUAACUUCGUG
Molecule: ribosomal RNA, 492 nt
Filed under: uncultured bacterium
Lineage: Bacteria
Description: partial 16S ribosomal RNA
Rfam family: Bacterial small subunit ribosomal RNA
Source: RNAcentral